This 85-nucleotide transfer RNA is filed under the name Candidatus Methanomassiliicoccus intestinalis Issoire-Mx1. It matches the Rfam family "tRNA". From Rfam's summary of the family: Transfer RNA (tRNA) molecules are approximately 80 nucleotides in length. Lineage: Archaea; Methanobacteriati; Thermoplasmatota; Thermoplasmata; Methanomassiliicoccales; Methanomassiliicoccaceae. The record is from Rfam by way of RNAcentral.
GCCGAGGUAGCUAAGUCCGGCCUACGGCGCCAGUCUUGAAAACUGGUGGUGUCUCACCACGGGAGUUCAAAUCUCCCCCUCGGCG